GUUUGUUUCCGCGCCUUCCAAGCCUUGUUAUUUUUUGCUGGCUUCCUGCUUCCCCUCUUCCUGCUUGUGUUUUCUGCCUCUGUUUAUUGACCUCACGAAGGUUGGAUUUCCAUUUUCUGAAGGACCAUUGUGUGGCCCAAGCACCUUCCUGAACCCUGCUUCAUACCUGCUUGGCUCUGCCUUCAUCGCGCUCAUGCCCACGCAUGCAUCUUGAGCCCAUCAUUGAUGCCAGCUCUCAGUACAGCUGAGCAUAUGCUGAGAUCUCGUUAAUGGCAAUUAAACUGGAGCGCGUGGUUAAGUACCUUGCAGAAGGUAGCUGCUUUGCUGUGUCACUUCUUAAAGAGCAUCCCUGCCAAAUUUCAGAAUUUUAAUCUCUUCACUAUUGACUCUGGGUGCUGUCGGCCCGCUUCCUCCUUUUGUUGCAAUCUCUCCAUCUAAAGCAUGAUUUCUCUAACAAUGAGCGCUCUCCUCGCGAUGGGCUGAAGAGGAGCUGAGCUGCUGGCACGCGGGAGCCCACGCCAUGCUUCAGAAUGAGGAAAUGAAACUGCUGUGAACGCAUCCGGGGAAGAGAAGCCCCCAAGUUGCCGUGUCUGUGGGAGCAUCCCAGGCUUCUCUGUGAUGUGGCCACUCCAGCCAUGAGUCAGCAUUCUGAGAAUCCUGCUGCAAGCCAGGAGCCCACAGCCUUCUCCUGCUCAGCACACCCAAGCAGGAUGCAGCACCCAGACAGGCGUCUGACACGUCCAGGAUGGGGACAUCGAUCGCUCCGACCUUUGCAAAGCCCUGUAUGGAAAAUGAACGGCACUGCAGAGCACAGAAAAUGGCCACAGGAAACAAAUGUGGCUCCCAAGCUCACGGUUCCACCAGCAUCCCAGGAGCAGUGCCAGGCCAGGGAUGGGGAGGUGCGUGAAGAGCACUGCCUGUAUGCAGGAGGAAGGCUCAGAGCAGGGUGCUCUGCUCUCAGGUCCUAACACUGCCCUGAGAAGGUGCACAGAUACAAAAAGCACCACCAUGGGGUGAACUUCUGCCCCGAGGGCUUCUCAGCCCAGCCAUACAACAUCAGUUCCUGGCAGAUGGGAAAAUUUCUUUUCCUUCUUUUUCCUUUUUGAUUUUUCCUACCAUGCUUCUUGCUUUCAGCCUUCCCCUUUCAUGUCCUUUUAUGGAUUACCGCACACAGAGCCUAUGCAGCCUAAUAACCCUCCACACACACACACACAUAAUCCAAGCAACCCAUUCCCCCCCACCUAAAAGCUGGGAGGGGAAGCAGCAUUCCUUUCUGCUGGGUGUCUGCAAGCGUGGAGCCCUCCCAGCCCCACGCAGCCCCAGCUGGCUCAGUCAGCUGUAGAAAUGUGCACUCAGAUGCAAGGACGAGCACAGAGCGCCUGGGGCUGCCUGAGGAUGGCUCAUGGGCCAAUGCAGGCUGUGGGGAGCUCUCCUCUCCAGGCUGCUUCUUUGCCCCUUGAGAUGGGGACCAAGGCAGCUGGGUGAUGUCUACGACCGUCCUUGCCAGAGAUGCCCAAAGCAACAACACAUCAAUUCCACUUCUAAUUUUGGGGUUGUUUUUGUGGCACCCUAUCCUCACAAUUUCCACAGGUCUGUUUGACCCCAUCGAGCCCAUCUCAUCCAGAGGCACAGGAAAGAUUUUGCAUGGGGCCACAACAAUUCUGUGCUCAAAAUCAGCUCAGUGAAAUCCAUGGCAUUUCCCUUCCAUUAAAAAAAAGACAACAACCCACAGUUAUCUUCCCCAGAAGAGACAGCGGGUUGAUCUCACUUGAUCUUUUUUGCCAAAGACACACUACGUUUUAUCCUGUUUCUUAUUUACCCCCAUGUACCUUUGUGUCCUCACUGUUACUGUAUCCGUUACGUAUGAUUUUAGGCCAGCACAGGUGCAACAAGGUUGAAUUUUUCUUCCUCCUUAGCAGUGGGACAUUUGUUCUUCAGCCAGGUGCCACUAAUUAGAUUACAGCAGAUUUAUUAUAACUACUUUCCUCUUCACCCAUGCACCUGUGACCCCAUUCUCCCUCUCACUGCUCCUGCGUCCUUGCACGGGCUGCACAGGGAAGCCUCAGACACGCUCAGGGCACCCAGUCCUCCAUAACUAACAUGGAAAUCAGGCUACCGGGUUCUCCUUCUCUGAGGUUUGUUGUGAUUUUCCUGCCUGCUGCCUUGGCUGUGUCUCCAGGCGAGACGCCGGUCCCUCUCUGCAUGGCACAUGCGAGAUUGUCACCGCAUUUCAAAGUCACCAUUGCGAGCCAGACUCUGAUUUGGAUGAGACUUUCUUCCUCGCUCCUGCAGGGAAAUUAAUUUCUCUUAAAUGUGCUGAUGUGCAGAUAAUUUGCCUGUGGACCCAGCAGAUUUGCAGUCAGCAGGCUGCCUCGGUCAGUGCCAGAGAGCAGCAUGUCACGCCAGACCAUGUCUAACAUCUUCUGAGUGAUGGGACUUUGGUCUUGGAAAGGCAUCCAGUGCCAUCAAUCCCUCCCAAGCUCCUCCAGGGAUAGGGUGUGGGAGGACUGGGAGCUGCCAGUAGACCCUGCCAGCCUCCCCUCCACCACCCCAUGUUGCUCUUGGUGUGCACAGCCCCACAGCAAAAAGCUUUUUGCUCUCCAACCUGACACAUCUCCCAUGAGAAACCUGCAAAGCCUGGCUCCUGCAGACCACAAGACGGGCCUGACCGUUGCAGCUUGGGGAGAUGGCUGUGCUGACCCCCAGCAGAAAGGGGUCCCUCUGGAGAUCGUCCACGUGGCUGCAAGUGACAGCUCUGCAGAUAUCCUCGCCCAAGCACACCAACACGGAUGGGUCCUCUGGAAGCAGCAGCUGACUCUCAGCCAGGAAGCCAGCUCAGCAAUGCCCUCAAUGCUACCGUUUUUGGACUCUGCAAAGUGCCUCAUUGUAUCUGUCUCUACAGAUUUCCACUUACCCAGAUGGUUUUUGUCUCUACCAUUCUAACAUCUGGUGGAUGCUGCUUCCAACAUCACUAGAAAUUGACUCUUCCAGGCAUAUUGGGGUUCCCAUGUUCACAAGGAUCUACUUCACCCAAAGAGAAACCCUCAAAGGCGCAGACCCAGCCAAGACCUCCACUUGGAAACAGCAACCUAAGAAAUCCAGAGAGAUAGAGAUAGGGAAGAAGCUCUGAACAAGAAGGGAAAGACUUUCUGCUGACUGACUAUCCCAACCCAGACAUCGUCAGCACUGUGGUUGGUUCAAUGCCUCUUUUGGGUAGGGGUUUGUCCAAGAGAUGCCACCCAGCGCCUGAGCCACGCAAAGCUCUGUACAUUCCCCAUGCAGGGCUACUUGCAGCCACGCUGGAGCUGUCUGCUGCUCUGAGCCUCUCCAAAAGCUCAAGCAUGUGGGGAGAGUGUGAAGCACUGAGCUAAGGGCAAAUCCCUCCAUCAUGGGACAAUUGGAUGGACAAUACCUCUUCCAAGUCAGAUGGAUGGGGAUGGACCUUUCCAGAGAGGUGACCCCAUGGCAGACCCUCUCAGCCUUGGGUCUUCUCCCACCCAGCUUCCAGACUGACCCAACAGCUCACUGGCACCCAAGCAUCACCCCAGUUGCCUUUUCAGGGAGCAGCAUCCUCUGACUAGCACACAUUUUAACACCCACUCCUCCUGGAGGCACAGUGGGACUGAUUAAGCAUCUGUCCUGCAGAAAGCAGAGCAGACCUUCCCUAAUCUCAUACCAUCUCGCCUGGAAUGGACCCAGCCAGCAGUUUGCAAGCAGAGAGAGCAAACUGGGAAGUACUCACUGCUGCACCCAGCCUGAUUUUAUCUGACCUUGGAAGAAGGUCAGCCUGUGCUGCCCCUGCACAGAGCUGUGAAAGGCAAAUCCACAGUGUUCAGCAAAUCUCUUCGUCUAACAGGCUCAUUUCUUCUCAAGAAUUCAUUUUGGAGGGAUUCGGUGGCAUUGACAGAGGUGGCACUAGUAAUUUCGCUGCUCAUAUUCAGGAUGUAGCACUUCAUCCUUCACCCUACAAGUGGGUUAGCCUGUGAAUUGCUCUGUGCUUCAAGUUGCAGAGCCUGAAUUAUUUUGGCUGCGGGACAUGGGCUGUUCAGCAGAGCUCAGCCUCGAGAUUGCAUCGGGGCUCACCAGCAGCAUGGGGAGCUCAUAACUCCAGCACUGGUUUCAAGCACUGGUGGCUGCAAAUGACAAAAUCCUCAGAAAGCUUCAUGUGGGUGCCGGAGCUCCUGACAUAAGCUCUGAGGGAAGCUGAGGCCUCUUCCAACGCAGCACAGCAGAUGCACAGUAUGUCCCUGUUAAAAAAGAAGGGGAAGGAGACAAGAUGCUGCUGCUCAUUUUCCCUGACACAACUUGCUGCUGGGUGCACGUCCCCAUGCAGGGCCACCCAAGAAUGCUUCAAUCACAUGUUCCUCACACGUGGGUCUCACAGGGUUUGGGCAGACUGAUGCCCACAGCACAGAGCAAAGACCCAGGGACUGCCUUUGGCUACUUUAGGCUCCAGGCUGGGUUGGACCUGUUCUCAGCUCUCAGCAGUCUUCUAGGGGUGGCUGGAGCUGGGUGCAAAGCUAGACAGGCUCCUGGGGGUACCAAGGCCCUCAACUGUGCAGAUAGUGGAGGUCAGCAGCAUUCUUUGGACCCCCUCAACAUGCUGUGCCAGGGGAACCAGGUCUCCUCCAGCAGCUUCUGGGUAGAAAGCAGGAGAGCUGCAGGGCAGUAUCACUCCUGGGCCACCUGUCUUACUGG
Molecule: long non-coding RNA, 4698 nt
Organism: Gallus gallus (chicken)
Lineage: Eukaryota; Metazoa; Chordata; Aves; Galliformes; Phasianidae
Source: Ensembl